This 72-nucleotide transfer RNA is filed under the name Ornithorhynchus anatinus (platypus). It matches the Rfam family "tRNA". From Rfam's summary of the family: Transfer RNA (tRNA) molecules are approximately 80 nucleotides in length. Their secondary structure includes four short double-helical elements and three loops (D, anti-codon, and T loops). Further hydrogen bonds mediate the characteristic L-shaped molecular structure. tRNAs have two regions of fundamental functional importance: the anti-codon, which is responsible for specific mRNA codon recognition, and the 3' end, to which the tRNAs corresponding amino acid is attached (by aminoacyl-tRNA synthetases). tRNAs cope with the degeneracy of the genetic code in two manners: having more than one tRNA (with a specific anti-codon) for a particular amino acid; and 'wobble' base-pairing, i.e. permitting non-standard base-pairing at the 3rd anti-codon position. The record is from Rfam by way of RNAcentral. Lineage: Eukaryota; Metazoa; Chordata; Mammalia; Monotremata; Ornithorhynchidae.
AGCAGCAUGGCUUAGUGGAAAGAGCACGGGCUUGGAAGUCAGAGGAUGUGGGUUCUAAUCCCAGUUCUGCCA